This 254-nucleotide ribosomal RNA is filed under the name uncultured bacterium. RNAcentral describes it as "partial 16S ribosomal RNA". It matches the Rfam family "Bacterial small subunit ribosomal RNA", at positions 524 to 776 of the family's 1533-position model. The record is from RNAcentral.
UACGGGGGGAGCAAGCGUUGUUCGGAAUUACUGGGCGUAAAGAGCGCGUAGGCGGCCACGACAAGUCAGUUGUGAAAUCUCUGGGCUUAACUCAGAACGGUCCACUGAUACUGUCGGGCUAGAGUGCAGAAGGGGCAACUGGAAUUCUCGGUGUAGCGGUGAAAUGCGUAGAUAUCGAGAGGAACACCGGCGGCGAAGGCGGGUUGCUGGGCUGACACUGACGCUGAGGCGCGAAAGCUAGGGGAGCGAACGGG